Homo sapiens (human) is the source of this 1091-nucleotide long non-coding RNA. Ensembl annotates it as long intergenic non-protein coding RNA 2175. Lineage: Eukaryota; Metazoa; Chordata; Mammalia; Primates; Hominidae. The record is from Ensembl.
CCCGGAAGGCGAGUGCCGGAGGGGGCGGGACAGCUCCUCCGGGGCCAGCGGGCACCAGGCUUGGGGGCUGAGGCCCAGCGGCCCGAGACCAACUGGGCUGACCGAGGCCGCCUCCCCGCCAGCCCUGGGGUCCACUGCCCGGGGAGCAGCUCCCUUCCCAGGUCAGACUCGGGCUUCAUCCUCUCUUGCCGCGCGCCGAGCGGUUUUCAACUCUCACUGCUAGAAUUCCUCCAACCACCCAGGAUAGCAGGACCGAGAUACAUGGCCACCCAUGACCCGGAGCGUCCACUUCCAGGGACAGGCAGUGGUGAUUGGCUUCGGUUGUCAUCUGUGCCAUCUGUCCAUGGUUCGAGAAGCUGCUGUUCACGUUUUGGGGAGGAUCAUGGUUUGAGGGCUCCCGUGGUAGAAUUUGGGGAGCUCUCAUAGGCAGAAGGCUGAGAAAAGUUGGUGCUGUGGGAAGUCAACUGGCAGCCGAUGGAGUCGGGACCCGGGAGGAAUGGAAAGGGAACCCAGAUAGGAAGCUACUGCAGUAGGCUCAGAGAGGUGAUGACGGCAGGGCUAAGACAGCGGCCUUGGGCGGUGACUGGGAAGAACGUUGAACACCGUGUUUGGGCUGAAGAAAAGAGCAAGGGAAGAGGUGAGGAACUUCAGUUACAGGGCUUUGACUCCUGAGUCUGAAAAAGGCACAGAUUCCUGCUAAAUCUUGAACACUGACGCCAGUCAAAGCCUCAUCUUCAGACCUGGGAGAAGCGGCUUACAGUCAACUACAGUCCAAAAUUUGCUCCUUGGAAGACUCCUGAAUGCAGGUUUCUGAUGAUGUCAGAAAGACUGUGCUGUUGGAUUAGACAGAAAACUUCUAGGACUCUAAUUAAAAGGCUGAUGUGGUCAUAAAGAUUGCUAACCCAGUAUGAAGCAAAACAAGAGUUAAUUGCAUGGACUGAGCUAAUAGAGGACUGAACUGAUUCUUUUGUGGCUUUUUUGGUUUGAAACAUUGCUGAUUCUUUUUGUUGUUCAGUGUCAAAUUUUUUUUCUCUUGAGCUAUUUGUAGCCCUUAACAAUUGAGUAUACUCUUGUAAAUAAAAUUUAAAGCA